GUUAACUUGUGACCAGCUCGCGUACCGGUAACUUAACGAAUGCUGGGGCGGUCUCGCAACACAGAUACUGAGAUAUUUCUUCUAUGGAAUGGCUGUCCAAAGGUCGCCCCCUGUACUUUGAACUGGAUUUUUGUACUGCUUAAUUGACGUCAUCCUUUCGCUAGAAAAUCCUCACCCAUCAAGGUCCAUGCAAAAAAGUUUUAGUUUGACGUUGUUGCUGACAAUUACUGCAAACUUUCCAUCAAUGAUGUCUUACUUAAGAAUUAUAAAAUACGAAAUGAUGAUUUAUUAAUUGUGUAGUUUCGCAGUUUUCGGAAAAAUUUGCAUCCGCUUUUCAUAAAUUAUCAUAACUUUAGUGUUAGUUGAUAUAAUACCGAGAAUUAUGUAACAAGUUUUUAAUUUGGAAGACUAACACGACAAGUUCUUGGAAGAAGUUGCAACCAAUCCAGUUUAAAAACCAUUACGUAUUAACCUGCUGGGAUUUUUAUGAUCAGCAUUGUAAAUUGCAUAACAUUACCCGCAUAGCAACUUAUCACUGACUGCACCCGUGAUUUUCCGCCCCUCUUUUUGAACUCGAGGGACUUUCCAUGCUCUCACAAGCACGCCAACGUCGCUUCAGUUCAAUUUAUUCGGAUUUCUCACAGGAGUCAAAGCUCUAGGCUAAUGACAAUAAUAAUCUGCAACGCCAAUUGUCUCUGGUGCACUCUUCUUUGACAAUGAGCACUGUUUAAGUUGGAUAUUAACAUGUCACAAUUUAGGACAAUGACUUCGGAUUAACUUGUUUAUUACAUAUUUAAGAGAUAAUUGUGUUUUUGUCAUUCAACAAACAAUGUUAAGGUGCCACCACACUACAUUACACUCUGUUGUCAUUGCCAUUAAUUAUAUUACAUGCAGACUCGCCUAAAAAUGUGUUCUUUAAUUAGCCAUCACGAAUGAAAACUGACAUGCAACCGGGGGUGUUUCGGCUCCUUUUAGCUAUAAUUGCGUGAACCUUUUAGUAUUGAUAAGAAUACAUCAUCCACCCAAAAGGUCGAGGUCGUUACGCCAAAACAAAGGUCAUUGCUGAACUUCCUCUACCAUAUAGGUUGAGCCACAUAUAGACAAGGCAAUGUCGUUAAUGGGUGACUAUUAUUUUGAAACUAAUUAAUAUUUUUUUUACAGGCUUGCUAUUACACAGCAGGUAAGCACCUUCGUUCCACAUAACUCUCAUGUAUAACGACAGAAAAUUCAUAAACAAAUCACUUUAAAGUAACCUCCUGACGAA
Molecule: long non-coding RNA, 1264 nt
Organism: Zophobas morio
Lineage: Eukaryota; Metazoa; Arthropoda; Insecta; Coleoptera; Tenebrionidae
Exons: 3
Source: RefSeq, a predicted model, not a curated record